UGCAGAACAGAUUAAUUAUUAAUCAUGCCCCUAUUUUAUGCGUGUCAUUACCAGAGCUUAGAGAAAAGAAAAGGAAAUCAGGCAGGGUUGAACUGGAAACGGGAAUGCACCUUUGUUACUCAGCUGUAAUCAUCACUGAAUAGAACAGAAGUUUCUCAGUCUGAAGAACCCAGAAGCAGGAGGGGAGGACUCUAUAGUUUGACUGAAAGGCCAAACUGUUCUACCAGAAGGGAAACUAAAGCACUAAAUUACCCUGCCAGAAGAGGGAAACUGCAGAAUAGAAGAGAAAUGAGGCACAGCUCCAGAGGAGAGCCUGAGGCAACAGCUACCCCUGACACUGGAGAUCUGAAGCACCCGGCACUUGCCACUCUCAGAAGACAGGACACUGGCGGGCUAGAUGGACCAUUGUUCUGACCCAGUAUGACAAGAAGACUCCUGGAAACACCUGAGGAACAAAGACUGACCUUGGGGAAGUGCUGGACCCAGGCUAAAGGGAUUUCUAGCCUGUGUAUGAAAGACCUGGGGAUUCCAAGCUGUAAAUCAAGUGCAGCUUGCCCUUUCAGAAUUUGCAGCCUGCUUGUAUCAUUUCUCAGGAUGACUUCGAUAUACUGCUCCAGUCAGAUAAUGAUUUCUAAUUCCUAUAUAAAGAAAGAAAAUUAAACAAAUAUAAGACCCACUCAGCUCUAAUACAAACAUGUUCCGACAUCUUGUGUCA
This is a non-coding RNA of Caretta caretta (loggerhead turtle), 715 nucleotides long. NCBI's taxonomy places the organism in Eukaryota, Metazoa, Chordata, Testudines, Cheloniidae. The record is from RefSeq and is a predicted model, not a curated record.